AAUACUAAAUAUUUUGUUUUCCCAUUUUCAAGUUGAAAUUAUACUUGAGUCUGAAGCAGAAGAACCAGCUGAUUCCUCUUGACAUUCGCCUACCACCUGGGAAAAAAAUUACUCUCAAAAUACAAAUAUAGCCUGGAUCCCAAGAUGGCCAAAUAAGAGGCAGCUCGCAGCAAGAAAGAUGCAGAAACGGAGUGAUCUCCACAAUUCCAAAUGAGAUUCUUUGAAUGCUGGGGUACUAGCCUAUGUGGAAUCGUAGCCUCUGGAACAGUAAUUUAGCAUUUCAGUCAGGAUCUUCUGCACUUUCAAUUUUAGCCUCUGAAGUUCCAGAUCAGGGAUACAGGAAAGCAGUGCUUCCUAUCACCGGUAAGUUGGUGAGUAGGAGAGAAGAGAUCAUUGAAGCUCCU
Molecule: long non-coding RNA, 404 nt
Filed under: Callithrix jacchus (white-tufted-ear marmoset)
Lineage: Eukaryota; Metazoa; Chordata; Mammalia; Primates; Cebidae
Description: lncRNA (ENSCJAG00000058812.2)
Source: RNAcentral